This 300-nucleotide signal recognition particle RNA is filed under the name Saimiri boliviensis boliviensis (Bolivian squirrel monkey). RNAcentral describes it as "Metazoan signal recognition particle RNA (ENSSBOG00000010896.1)". It matches the Rfam family "Metazoan signal recognition particle RNA". From Rfam's summary of the family: The signal recognition particle (SRP) is a universally conserved ribonucleoprotein. Lineage: Eukaryota; Metazoa; Chordata; Mammalia; Primates; Cebidae. The record is from RNAcentral.
ACCGGGUAUGGUGGUGUGUGCCUGUAGUCUCCGCUACUCGGGAGGCUGAGGCUGGAGGAUUGCUUGAGUCCAGGAGUUCUGGGCUGUAGUGCGCUAUGCCGAUCCGGUGUCUGCACUAAGUUUGGCAUCAAUAUGGUGACCUCCCAGGAGCAGGGGACCACUAGGUUGCCGAAGGAGCAGUGAACUGGCCCAGGUUGGAAACGGAGCCAGGUCAAAACUCCCAUGCUGAUCAGUAGUGGGAUCAUGCCUGUGAAUAGCCACUGUACUCCAGCCUGGGCAACAUAGUGAGACCCCAUCUCU